AUUGAACGCUGGCGGAAUGCUUUACACAUGCAAGUCGAACGGCAGCACGGGGGCAACCCUGGUGGCGAGUGGCGAACGGGUGAGUAAUACAUCGGAACGUGCCCAGUCGUGGGGGAUAACGUAGCGAAAGUUACGCUAAUACCGCAUACGAUCUACGGAUGAAAGCGGGGGACCGUAAGGCCUCGCGCGAUUGGAGCGGCCGAUGUCAGAUUAGGUAGUUGGUGAGGUAAAGGCUCACCAAGCCGACGAUCUGUAGCUGGUCUGAGAGGACGAGCGGCCACACUGGGACUGCGACACGGCCCAGACUCCUACGGGAGGCAGCAGUGGGGAAUUUUGGACAAUGGGCGCAAGCCUGAUCCAGCCAUUCCGCGUGCAGGACGAAGGCCUUCGGGUUGUAAACUGCUUUUGUACGGAACGAAAAGGCUCUGGUUAAUACCUGGGGCUCAUGACGGUACCGUAAGAAUAAGCACCGGCUAACUACGUGCCAGCCGCCGCCGUAA
RNAcentral lists this ribosomal RNA (500 nucleotides) under uncultured bacterium. RNAcentral's name for it is "partial 16S ribosomal RNA". It matches the Rfam family "Bacterial small subunit ribosomal RNA", at positions 30 to 523 of the family's 1533-position model. The record is from RNAcentral.